RNAcentral lists this ribosomal RNA (1373 nucleotides) under uncultured organism. RNAcentral's name for it is "16S ribosomal RNA". It matches the Rfam family "Bacterial small subunit ribosomal RNA". The record is from RNAcentral.
GGAUGAACGCUGGCGGCGUGCCUAACACAUGCAAGUCGAACGGGAAACACCCUUCGGGGUGUGGCGAGUGGCGAACGGGUGAGUAACACGUAGCUUAUCUGCCCUCAGGAGCGGGACAACGGCUGGAAACAGUCGCUAAUACCGCAUAAGCUCACGAUGAAUAGACAGUUGUGAGAAAAGACUCCGGUGCCUGAGGAUGAGGCUGCGUUCCAUCAGCUAGUUGGUGAGGUAAAGGCUCACCAAGGCGACGACGGAUAGGGGACCUGAGAGGGUGACCCCCCACACUGGAACUGAGACACGGUCCAGACUUCUACGGAAGGCAGCAGUGAGGAAUAUUGCACAAUGAGCGCAAGCUUGAUGCAGCGACGCCGCGUGGGUGAUGAAGGUUUUCGGAUCGUAAAGCCCUUUUCUGCGUGACGAGGAAGGACGGUAGCGCAGGAAUAAGUCUCGGCUAACUACGUGCCAGCAGCCGCGGUAAAACGUAGGAGGCAAGCGUUAUCCGGAGUUACUGGGCGUAAAGCGCGUGCAGGCGGAUGGUUAAGUCAGAUAUGAAAGCUCCCGGCUAAACUGGGAGAGGCUGUCUGAAACUGGCUAUCUAGAGUGGAGAAGAGGCAAAUGGAAUUCCGCGUGUAGUGGUGAAAUGCGUAGAUAUGCGGAGGAACACCAGUGGCGAAGGCGAUUUGCUGGUCUCCAACUGACGCUGAGACGCGAAAGCAUGGGUAGCGAACGGGAUUAGAAACCCCGGUAGUCCAUGCUGUAAACGAUGCACACUAGACGUUCGUAGUGCUACGGUGCUAUGAGUGUCGCAGCCAACGCGAUAAGUGUGCCGCCUGGGGAGUACGGUCGCAAGGCUAAAACUCAAAGGAAUUGACGGGGGCCCGCACAAGCAGCGGAGCGUGUGGUUUAAUUCGAGGCUACGCGAAGAACCUUACCCGGGUUUGACAUGUUAGCUGACGGUUUUGGAAACAAGCCGGUCCCUUCGGGGAGCUAUCACAGGUGCUGCAUGGCUGUCGUCAGCUCGUGCCGUGAGGUGUUCGGUUAAGUCCGCAAACGAGCGCAACCCUUAUGAUUAGUUACAAGUGUCUAAUCAGACUGCCCGUGGCAAACGGGAGGAAGGUGGGGAUGACGUCAAGUCAGCAUGGCCUUUAUAUCCGGGGCUACACACACGCUACAAUGGUCAGUACAGUGGGUCGCGAAACCGCGAGGUGGAGCUAAUCCUGAAAGCUGAUCGUAGUUCGGAUGGCAGGCUGCAACUCGCCUGCCUGAAGUCGGAGUUGCUAGUAACCGCGUAUCAGCACGGCGCGGUGAAUACGUUCCCGGGCAUUGUACACACCGCCCGUCACGUCAUGGAAGCUGGUUACGCCUGAAGUCGG